Molecule: small nucleolar RNA, 125 nt
Filed under: Drosophila ananassae
Lineage: Eukaryota; Metazoa; Arthropoda; Insecta; Diptera; Drosophilidae
Description: snoRNA:GF26167
Source: RNAcentral
AUGAUUGUAAUUGCAAUUGUGAUCGCGAUUACGUUUAUAUGACGAGGCUAUCGAUGAUUACCAACUGCCGUUCAGCGUUGUGGCAGCUUUCAUAAAUUUUGUUUCAGACUUUCACGCCUGAUAUU